This 654-nucleotide long non-coding RNA is filed under the name Homo sapiens (human). RNAcentral describes it as "novel transcript". The record is from RNAcentral. Lineage: Eukaryota; Metazoa; Chordata; Mammalia; Primates; Hominidae.
AUGAGAGACAGCAGUUGGCAAGACAGUGAGAGACAGCAAGAGAUGGCAAGUGACAGUUAUUGUUAAGAUGACAAAUGGAGAGAUGGCAAGAAAUAGAGAAGCAGUCAGUGAUGGAGGCUGCAAGAGUUGUAACACUAACCAAAGGCUCUUUUUAGAAUCAUCGUUUUCCCUGGCAGGUGGUACAGCCAAGCAGACAGGCAAGUAAGUGGCCAUACUGCUACUGCCUCAUGUAGGAUCCGGCAGGCUGGUGGGUUAUCAGUCCUCACGUGGGACCCUCCCACCAUGGCAGCUGAGCACAUCCAAGCUGGGGGAUCCUGAAGAGACCUUCACCUGGGUGCCACGUGGAAGAUUGGCCAGCACCAUUUUGACUCCUGUGGAUGGCUAAAGUGACCCAGCAGGCUUCCUGAGCCUUAGGCAUUACCUGUCAUCUUCACUCUUGGAGACCUCAAUCCUCAGUUCCAGGUAAAGACAAUCCUUGCACAAGGCUUCCAACUCGACCCGCCUACUGACCUGGAGAAUGAAAGUGUCCUGCCUCGGGGCCCCUCAGAUCAGCACCCAAACUGCACCUGGUCACCUGUCUACAUUCAGAUUUAGAUGAAAGCCACACCAUGGAGGCAGCCAGAGGCCCAUGGGAGAUGUCUGGAUUCGCAGAGG